CCUACGGGUGGCAGCAGUGGGGAAUAUUGGACAAUGGGCGAAAGCCUGAUCCAGCCAUGCCGCGUGUGUGAAGAAGGCCUUCGGGUUGUAAAGCACUUUCAGUGGGGAAGAAAGCCUUGGGGCUAAUACCCUCGAGGAAGGACAUCACCCACAGAAGAAGCACCGGCUAACUCCGUGCCAGCAGCCGCGGUAAUACGGAGGGUGCGAGCGUUAAUCGGAAUUACUGGGCGUAAAGCGCGCGUAGGCGGUCUGAUAAGCCGGUUGUGAAAGCCCCGGGCUCAACCUGGGAACGGCAUCCGGAACUGUCAGGCUAGAGUGCAGGAGAGGAAGGUAGAAUUCCCGGUGUAGCGGUGAAAUGUGUAGAGAUCGGGAGGAAUACCAGUGGCGAAGGCGGCCUUCUGGACUGACACUGACGCUGAGGUGCGAAAGCGUGGGUAGCAAACAGGAUUAGAUACCCCGGUAGUC
This 465-nucleotide ribosomal RNA is filed under the name Vreelandella stevensii. RNAcentral describes it as "partial 16S ribosomal RNA". It matches the Rfam family "Bacterial small subunit ribosomal RNA", at positions 338 to 795 of the family's 1533-position model. Lineage: Bacteria; Pseudomonadati; Pseudomonadota; Gammaproteobacteria; Oceanospirillales; Halomonadaceae. The record is from RNAcentral.